Molecule: long non-coding RNA, 1123 nt
Filed under: Fukomys damarensis (Damara mole-rat)
Lineage: Eukaryota; Metazoa; Chordata; Mammalia; Rodentia; Bathyergidae
Description: lncRNA (ENSFDAG00000030019.1)
Source: RNAcentral
AUUUAUGUACCUACUGCUUAGGAUUGAUGGUAACUGAUGAAACAGACGUUCUGAUUUUUCAUUAGAUUCCUAACCUAUUUUCAUGGUCUUGAACUCUGAAUUUUUAUUCUCUUUUGUACUCUCACAUGGUAAAGCAAUGCUGAGUCCUGGAGUAGGACUUCCAGACUUGAACUGGUUAACUCACAGACCUGCGGUUGUUUUCUUUAAUGGGCUGGGUGAUUCCUGGAAACAUGCAAGCAAGCUGCUGCUGUUUGUUUUCUACCCUGUGCCGUUUGACUUGGAGCAUUUCUGAAGUCUCUCAGUUCCUGUACAUCUAAAUGAAUGACUGUUUCUGGAUACAGGGCCCGUCAGGGAGGAAGCACACUGAGGCGGAAUGUGGGGAAUGCUCCUAGCCCCUCCUCACACAGGGGAAAGACACAUUCAGCUACAGCUGACAAAAAAACACAACAAUACAGGCAGACGAUGCAGGUACUGUCUCCGCCCGACAAAAGACAUGCCAUCUUGGAGCAGAGAGAACACAGAACACAGGACGGGGUGUUCCCAACAAAGAGAUAACAAUUACAAAGUAUAGCAUCUUUCCAAUGUCAAGUGACCUGAAAAUAUCCAUACAUCUGCUUGAUCACUGCAUGGACCUCGACCACAAAUAUUUGUUCUGACCCUUAUAUGUGCCAGCCCUCUCUUCCAAUGCCCUAUAUAGCUUCCUGCCUUUUCUUUGUUCAGUGCUGAUCAUCUCUUGCUUUCUGUGAGCCCACUGCUACCCAGGUGAAUAAAGCCUGUACCUCUUUGCUCUCACUAACCUGCAUGGGUGGUCUCAUUACUUGCUGUUUGUUACAAAGUCCCUAAAUUUUGGGGUUAAUUUGUUACACAGCAAUAAAUAACACAAUAAACAAAUGAAUAUGUCCACAAAUGGAUGAAAGAAACUGAAGGCCUCACCAAAAGAAGGGGGACUUGAGACUGGAGAAAGCAAGCAAAGGUUUUAGGACAAAUACAAUCGUUAAUCCUUUGUGUCUGAAGAUGUUUCUCCCAGCUACAGAAUCUAGAAGUAUGGUUGAGAGGAAAACUCCUCUCAGAGUUUUAGGAAUCAACUUUAUCAGGUCACUGGACAUUUUAUAUUUCUGGGCAC